Molecule: ribosomal RNA, 975 nt
Filed under: Triticum aestivum (bread wheat)
Lineage: Eukaryota; Viridiplantae; Streptophyta; Magnoliopsida; Poales; Poaceae
Description: partial small subunit ribosomal RNA
Source: RNAcentral
AUGGCUUCCAGCGCCGCCGCCGACGUGGUUGAGACCGAGCUGUUCCCCUUCAUCCGCGUGUACAAGAGCGGCCGCGUCGAGCGCCUGCUCGGCACCGACACCGUGCCGGCGUCCUUGGACGCCUCCACGGGCGUGGCGUCCAAGGACGUCGUCAUCGACCCGGCCACCGGCGUCUCCGUCCGCCUCUACCUCCCGCCAGCGGCUGCGGCGUCCGGGGGCGAAGGCAAGAAGCUGCCCGUCCUCGUGUACUUCCACGGCGGCGGGUUCAUGGUCGAGACGGCGGCCUCCCCGACGUACCACCGCUACCUCAACGCGCUCGCCGCCCGCGCGGGCGCGCUCGCGGUGUCCGUGGAGUACCGCCGCGUGCCGGAGCACCCGCUCCCCGCGGCCUACGACGACUCGUGGGCGGCCCUGGCGUGGGCGGUCGCCGGCUCCGCACCGGGAGGCCCCGAGCCGUGGCUCGCGGCGCACGGGGACGCGUCCCGCGUGUUCCUCGCCGGCGACAGUGCGGGCGCCAACAUCGCGCACAACGUCGCCCUGCGCGCAGCCGCCGAGGGCCUCCCGCGCCCGUGCGCGGCCAUCGUCGGCGUGCUGCUGGUGCACCCCUACUUCUGGGACCCGACCAACGCCAUGGCGCCGGCGCUGGAGGUCAGGAUCCGCAACGAGUGGCGGUUCAUGUGCGCGCGCCCCGACGCCGGGGUCGACGACCCGAGGUUCUGCCCGACGUGCGCCGUGGCGGCGCCGCGGCUCGCGGCGCUGCCGGGCAAGAGGGCGAUGGUGGCCGUGGCGGGCGACGACUUCCUGGCGGUGAAGGGGCGGGCGUACCACGCGGCGCUGCUCGCGAGCGGGUGGCGCGGGGAGGCCGAGCUGGUGGACACGCCGGGGCAGGACCACGUGUUCCAUCUCAUGCGGCCGGGGACGGAGGCGGCCGCAGACAUGUUGGACCGCGUCGCGGGGUUCAUUUCUCGUGCUUGA